UGCACGGUGGCGCAGUCGGUAGCACGAAGGUCCUGGGUUCAAUUCCCAGCUGGGGGUCUUUCUGCAU
Non-coding RNA from Characodon lateralis, 67 nucleotides. Lineage: Eukaryota; Metazoa; Chordata; Actinopteri; Cyprinodontiformes; Goodeidae. The record is from the annotation of a GenBank genome assembly.